This 429-nucleotide ribosomal RNA is filed under the name Acidobacteriota bacterium. Its description in RNAcentral is "Acidobacteria bacterium partial 16S ribosomal RNA". It matches the Rfam family "Bacterial small subunit ribosomal RNA", at positions 355 to 776 of the family's 1533-position model. The record is from RNAcentral. Lineage: Bacteria; Pseudomonadati; Acidobacteriota.
UGGGGAAUUUUGGACAAUGGGGGCAACCCUGAUCCAGCAAUGCCGCGUGUGUGAAGAAGGCCUUCGGGUUGUAAAGCACUUUUGUCCGGAAAGAAAACUUCGGGGCUAAUACCCCUGGAGGAUGACGGUACCGGAAGAAUAAGCACCGGCUAACUACGUGCCAGCAGCCGCGGUAAUACGUAGGGUGCGAGCGUUAAUCGGAAUUACUGGGCGUAAAGCGUGCGCAGGCGGUGCUGUAAGACCGAUGUGAAAUCCCCGGGCUUAACCUGGGAACUGCAUUGGUGACUGCAGCGCUGGAGUGUGGCAGAGGGGGGUGGAAUUCCACGUGUAGCAGUGAAAUGCGUAGAGAUGUGGAGGAACACCGAUGGCGAAGGCAGCCCCCUGGGCCAAUACUGACGCUCAUGCACGAAAGCGUGGGGAGCAAACAGG